RNAcentral lists this unclassified non-coding RNA (758 nucleotides) under Hevea brasiliensis (rubber tree). Lineage: Eukaryota; Viridiplantae; Streptophyta; Magnoliopsida; Malpighiales; Euphorbiaceae. The record is from RNAcentral.
GGAAGCAACUGUGGUUCAAUUUUGCAACAGUUGUUGUAUGCUCAGCUUCUAUACUUUUUAUCAUCACUCUAUAUUUCAUGAGCAAGCCAAGAAAAGUUUACUUGGUUGAUUAUGCUUGUUACAAGCCAGAACCAUCUCAUAAGUGCACCAGAGAGCAUUACAUGCAGCUAUCUGCAAGGACAGGAGUGUUCACAGAGGAAAGUUUAGCCUUUCUAAGGAAAAUCCUGGAGAGAUCUGGGAUUGGUCAGACGGCAUAUGCACCCAACGGCUUGUUGCAAAUCCCUCAGGACCAGUCCUUGGCUGAGUCAAGAAGGGAGACAGAAAUGGUAAUGUUUGGAGCCGUUGAUGAGCUCUUGGCCAAAACUGGUGUGAACCCUACAGAUAUAGGAAUACUCAUAGUGAAUAGCAGUUUGUUCAAUCCCCAGCCUUCUCUCUCAGCCAUGAUUGUCAAUCGUUACAAGUUAAGAGGGAAUAUUUUGAGCUAUAGUCUUGGUGGUAUGGGUUGUAGUGCUGGACUUAUUUCUAUAAACCUCGCCAAAGACCUUUUACAGGGACACCCAAAAUCUUACGCCUUGGUGGUAAGCACAGAAAAUAUCACUCGCAAUUGGUAUAGGGGCAACGAACGGCCAAUGCUUGUCACAAACUGCCUAUUCCGUAUAGGAGCAGCCGCCAUUCUCCUAUCCAACCGAUCAUCUGAUCGCCGGCAUUCUAAGUAUCAGCUCAUCCAUAUCGUGCGGACCCACAAGGGUGCUGAUGAU